CCCAACAAUCCUUCCAUACACCAAACAUAGUUGACCUGCUGUUUAUAGUACAUGAACAUCUCCCUAAUCACUACAACUUUAAAUCAUGGGAUGCAGUGAAUGUCUAAAUUUUCUCAAAAGUUUUUUAUGUACCGGUAAUAACUACAACAAGAUGAAAUAGAAAUAAAAUAUUCUUAUAAUUUAUUUCAGUUACUCCAUAUAAAAUAGUCACCAAAAUAAAUACAUCUUUCCUGCAGGAUACUGCAAAUGAAUGUUCAGGAAUGUGAAAUUAUUUGAAGUAAUCCAUUUAUUCCUACAGGAAACUAGGAAUAGGCAAACAAAAAAUAUUAUAGAAUGUGCAUAUUAAA
Molecule: long non-coding RNA, 347 nt
Filed under: Mytilus galloprovincialis (Mediterranean mussel)
Lineage: Eukaryota; Metazoa; Mollusca; Bivalvia; Mytilida; Mytilidae
Source: RNAcentral